UACGGAGGGAGCUAGCGUUGUUCGGAAUUACUGGGCGUAAAGCGCGCGUAGGCGGCUUUGUAAGUUAGAGGUGAAAGCCUGGAGCUCAACUUCAGAAUUGCCUUUAAGACUGCAUCGCUAGAAUCCAGGAGAGGUGAGUGGAAUUCCGAGUGUAGAGGUGAAAUUCGUAGAUAUUCGGAAGAACACCAGUGGCGAAGGCGGCUCACUGGACCGGUAUUGACGCUGAGGUGCGAAAGCGUGGGGAGCAAACAGG
This 253-nucleotide ribosomal RNA is filed under the name uncultured bacterium. Its description in RNAcentral is "partial 16S ribosomal RNA". It matches the Rfam family "Bacterial small subunit ribosomal RNA", at positions 524 to 776 of the family's 1533-position model. The record is from RNAcentral.